CUCGUAGGCGGCCAACUAAGUCAGACGUGAAAUCCCUCAGCUUAACUGGGGAACUGCGUCUGAUACUGGAUGGCUUGGAUUCGGGAGAGGGAUGCGGAAUUCCAGGUGUAGCGGUGAAAUGCGUAGAUAUCUGGAGGAACACCGGUGGCGAAGGCGGCAUCCUGGACCGAUAUUGGCGCUGAGGAGCGAAAGCCAGGGGAGCAAACG
Molecule: ribosomal RNA, 207 nt
Filed under: uncultured bacterium
Lineage: Bacteria
Description: partial 16S ribosomal RNA
Rfam family: Bacterial small subunit ribosomal RNA
Source: RNAcentral